Molecule: ribosomal RNA, 504 nt
Filed under: uncultured bacterium
Lineage: Bacteria
Description: partial 16S ribosomal RNA
Rfam family: Bacterial small subunit ribosomal RNA
Source: RNAcentral
AUUGAACGCUGGCGGCAGGCCUAACACAUGCAAGUCGAACGGUAGCACAGAGAGCUUGCUCUCGGGUGACGAGUGGCGGACGGGUGAGUAAUGUCUGGGAAACUGCCCGAUGGAGGGGGAUAACUACUGGAAACGGUAGCUAAUACCGCAUAACGUCGCAAGACCAAAGUGGGGGACCUUCGGGCCUCACACCAUCGGAUGUGCCCAGAUGGGAUUAGCGAGUAGGUGGGGUAAUGGCUCACCUAGGCGACGAUCCCUAGCUGGUCUGAGAGGAUGACCAGCCACACUGGAACUGAGACACGGUCCAGACUCCUACGGGAGGCAGCAGUGGGGAAUAUUGCGCAAUGGGCGCAAGCCUGAUGCAGCCAUGCCGCGUGUAUGAAGAAGGCCUUCGGGUUGUAAAGUACUUUCAGCGGGGAGGAAGGCGGUGAAGUUAAUAACUUCACCGAUUGACGUUACCCGCAGAAGAAGCACCGGCUAACUCCGUGCCAGCAGCCGCCGUAA